AGGUACCAAGACGUGGAUGACUAUAUCAAAGUGAAUCAUACCUCUAAAUGGGAAGAGAAGCGCUGUGACUUGGAGAGUCUGAUUGCAGUCAAAGAUAACAGCAAGGAGGGAAACCAAGAUCUGGAUGACUUCAUCAUAGUGAAUUGUACAUUUGAGCCAAGUGA
Protobothrops mucrosquamatus (brown spotted pit viper) is the source of this 164-nucleotide long non-coding RNA. RefSeq lists it as uncharacterized. The transcript is spliced from 3 exons. NCBI's taxonomy places the organism in Eukaryota, Metazoa, Chordata, Lepidosauria, Squamata, Viperidae. The record is from RefSeq and is a predicted model, not a curated record.